UUUAGCAAAUGGGAUUAGAUACCCCAGUAGUCCACACCGUAAACGAUGGGUAUUAGAUAUUAGGGCUUUAGCUUUAGUGUUGUAGCUUACGCGUUAAAUACCCCGCCUGGGUAGUACAUAUGCAAAUAUGAAACUCAAAGGAAUUGACGGGGACCUGAACAAGUGGUGGAGCAUGUUGCUUAAUUCGAUAAUACACGAAAAACCUUACCAAGGUUUGACAUCCCUCGCAAAGCUAUAGAAAUAUAGUAGAGGUUAUCGAGGUGACAGGUGGUGCAUGGCUGUCGUCAGCUCGUGUCUUGAGAUGUUUGGUUAAGUCCCGCAACGAGCGCAACCCCACUCUUUAGUUACUUGUCUAAAGAGACUGCACAGUAAUGUAGAGGAAGGAUGGGAUCACGUCAAGUCAUCAUGCCCCUUAUGCCUUGGGCUGCAAACGUGCUACAAUGGCGAACACAAUGUGUU
RNAcentral lists this ribosomal RNA (459 nucleotides) under uncultured Mycoplasma sp. RNAcentral's name for it is "bacterial SSU rRNA". It matches the Rfam family "Bacterial small subunit ribosomal RNA", at positions 764 to 1248 of the family's 1533-position model. The record is from RNAcentral. Lineage: Bacteria; Bacillati; Mycoplasmatota; Mollicutes; Mycoplasmatales; Mycoplasmataceae.